Pan troglodytes (chimpanzee) is the source of this 719-nucleotide long non-coding RNA. RefSeq lists it as uncharacterized. The record is from RefSeq and is a predicted model, not a curated record. Lineage: Eukaryota; Metazoa; Chordata; Mammalia; Primates; Hominidae. The transcript is spliced from 2 exons.
ACGUGCUGGCAAUGUCACCUUGACCCACCUCCUCUUAUCAAUCUCCUACAUCUUGGAAUAGAACAGAAUAAAGACACCGAUGAAAAGGGAGGGGUGGGAGAAGCUGAACACAGACGACAGGGGAGCUGCUAGCAGUGCUGCACCCCUUCCCAAACAUGGCCGCUUUUUGAGACUGAACUAGCUGUGGGCUUUGAAGCAAAAGGCCUCAGGGUGGAAAAUGAAAGAUGCUUAAGGUCACUGCCCCUCCUGUUCUGUACACAAGCCUAAGCUCGGGAGGAAAUAAUUUGAGGUAUCUGGAAGAAGCAGAGAGAGCAGGGCAGCUCUGAAGUCACUGCGAGGCUGUGAGAGGUCAGCCAGCGCUUCAAAGGACCCCAGGACCUUUGCACAACCCUGGACUGAAUGGGAAGGGAAAGUCCCAGUCAUGACAGAAACGGAAUUUCCCACCAACUCAGUAGGAGGUUUGGGGUUCAGGGUCAGUUUCAUGGCAGUGCAAACAAAAUAAAGAAAAUGUGAUAUUUAUUGCUUACUUAAAUUUGUGGACCAAACUGCCUACCAUGCUAUCCACACUGUUUCCUGCAGGUGGUCAAUGUGGGCUUAAGGGAAAUGUAACUCAUCUUAAUAUUUGCUUAAAUCAAAUGGAAUAUAGAAAGUAAAUAAAUCUGCUGCCAAGCCAUCAAGUAGGGCAUUCUAAACCCAAAAUAAAGAGCCUAUGGACUGUC